GGUCGGUUAGCUCAGUUGGUUAGAGCGUGGUGCUAAUAUCCAAAUGUUAACGCCAAGGUCGCGGGUUCGACCCCCGUACUGACCA
Molecule: transfer RNA, 85 nt
Filed under: Didymosphaeria variabile
Lineage: Eukaryota; Fungi; Ascomycota; Dothideomycetes; Pleosporales; Didymosphaeriaceae
Rfam family: tRNA
About the family: Transfer RNA (tRNA) molecules are approximately 80 nucleotides in length.
Source: Rfam by way of RNAcentral